GGGGCGCCUGUGGGAGUCGUGGAGGGAACUUUCCCAGGCCCCGAGGCGGAUCGGGUAUUGAGUCCAUGGAGCGAGCUGAGAGCUAGAGUACAGAACCUGCUAAGGCCAUCAAACCUAUCGAUCGGAAGUCAGUCCAUCAGAUUUGCUCUGGGCCGGUGGUACUGAGUCUAAGCACUGCGGUGAAGGAGUUAGUAGAAAACAGUCUGGAUGCUGGUGCCACCAAUAUUGAUCUAAAGCUUAAGGACUAUGGAGUGGAUCUCAUUGAAGUUUCAGACAAUGGAUGUGGGGUAGAAGAAGAAAACUUUGAAGGCUUAACGAUGUCACCAUUUCUACCUGCCACGCAUCGGCGAAGGUUGGGACUCGACUGGUGUUUGAUCACGAUGGGAAAAUCAUCCAGAAAACCCCCUACCCCCACCCCAGAGGGACCACAGUCAGCGUGAAGCAGUUAUUUUCUACACUACCUGUGCACCAUAAGGAAUUUCAAAGGAAUAUUAAGAAGACGUGCCUGUUUCCCCUUCGCCUUCUGCCGUGAUUGUCAGUUUCCUGAGGCCUCCCCAGCCAUGCUUCCUGUACAGCCUGCAGAACUACAUGACUUCCUAUCAAACCAAGAUGCGCUACAAUCACAGGAGAGCUUCCUUUCCCUUGGGCCUGCAGUUUUGCUGGGCCCGGAAGACAAGUCAAGUUUAUCUCAAGCAGUCCCGCUGACACAGGGUUAAAUGUUUCCAUGUUACCAUGUGACUAAUUCAAACUCAUUCUAAUUCCUGCUGUUGCUGCUUUUGAUCGGUUACAAAUUUUCAAGGCUGUGUUAACAGCACCUCGUGGAAUCCUUUUUAGACUCAACUUGGCUUGAGUUAUUAGUGAAGGUUUCAUCAAUAACUUCUAAUUCAAACAUGCUAACUAAAUGACUCAAACUAGCUUUUCUGGCCUAACGUGGAUACAAUAUCUCAUUAGUGGAAAGCCUGAAAAAUUUCAAUUCAGUAAGAGGGGAUAAUCCAAUUUGUACUCUCUUAAGAAAAUUGCUUCUCAAAAGUCACGGUGGAAUAAUGACCUGGAAUGAAGAAAACAGAAAGAAAGUUGAAGAGGCUCAGAAGGAAAUACUAAUUGAACUGUGAAGGCUUUUAAUUCAAAGCUAUUGUUUGGCAUUCAUUUCUGUAAAUGUAUUAACUAAUAUGCUGAUACCUGACUCAUAAACAGACAAGUACUUGU
This is a long non-coding RNA of Homo sapiens (human), 1206 nucleotides long. Ensembl annotates it as PMS1 homolog 2, mismatch repair system component pseudogene 4. Its record names the gene PMS2P4. The record is from Ensembl. Lineage: Eukaryota; Metazoa; Chordata; Mammalia; Primates; Hominidae.